Molecule: long non-coding RNA, 263 nt
Organism: Zophobas morio
Lineage: Eukaryota; Metazoa; Arthropoda; Insecta; Coleoptera; Tenebrionidae
Exons: 3
Source: RefSeq, a predicted model, not a curated record
UUCUUUUACUGAUACUUUGAAUGGAUCGCAGAAACUUCCAAGUUUGUAUCACAAUUUACAGAAUCAGUUUGACUUUACUUCUAGCCCGACUCGAAGCGAUCACGACUGUCUCGAUGAUUUUAUUGAUCGAGCUCUGCAGUUUCGACUGGCGACGCCUCAAAAGUUUAUUUCUACUGGCGCUUCCCUCCAUCAAUUUCUUGAAUUUCAGCACUUCCCAUUGGAUUGGUCUUUGAAAAAGAAAGUUAUUUUUUCAAGUUUUGAGC